RNAcentral lists this ribosomal RNA (1061 nucleotides) under uncultured Pseudomonas sp. RNAcentral's name for it is "partial 16S ribosomal RNA". It matches the Rfam family "Bacterial small subunit ribosomal RNA", at positions 155 to 1178 of the family's 1533-position model. The record is from RNAcentral. Lineage: Bacteria; Pseudomonadati; Pseudomonadota; Gammaproteobacteria; Pseudomonadales; Pseudomonadaceae.
AACGGACGCUAAUACCGCAUACGUCCUACGGGAGAAAGCCUGGGACCUUCGGGCCUUGCGCUAUCAGAUGAGCCUAGGUCGGAUUAGCUAGUUGGUGAGGUAAUGGCUCACCAAGGCUACGAUCCGUAACUGGUCUGAGAGGAUGAUCAGUCACACUGGAACUGAGACACGGUCCAGACUCCUACGGGAGGCAGCAGUGGGGAAUAUUGGACAAUGGGCGAAAGCCUGAUCCAGCCAUGCCGCGUGUGUGAAGAAGGUCUUCGGAUUGUAAAGCACUUUAAGUUGGGAGGAAGGGCAUUAACCUAAUACGUUAGUGUUUUGACGUUACCGACAGAAUAAGCACCGGCUAACUCUGUGCCAGCAGCCGCGGUAAUACAGAGGGUGCAAGCGUUAAUCGGAAUUACUGGGCGUAAAGCGCGCGUAGGUGGUUUGUUAAGUUGAAUGUGAAAUCCCCGGGCUCAACCUGGGAACUGCAUCCAAAACUGGCAAGCUAGAGUAUGGUAGAGGGUAGUGGAAUUUCCUGUGUAGCGGUGAAAUGCGUAGAUAUAGGAANGGNAACACCAGUNGNGCGAAGGCGACUACCUNGGACUGAUACUGACACUGNAGGUGCGAAANGCGUGGGGAGCAAANNGGAAAAAAAAACCCUGGUAGUCCACGCCGUAAACGAUGUCUANCUAGCCGUUGGGAGUCUUGAACUCUUAGUGGCGCANGCUAACGCANUUAAGUUGACCGCCUGGGGANGUACNGGCCGCAAGGUUAAAACUNCAAAUGAAUUGACGGGGGCCCGNCACAAGNCGGUGGAGCUUGUGGNNUUUAAUUCGAAGNCAACGCGNAAGAACCUUACCNAGGCNCUUNGACAUNCCNAAUGAANCUUUCUAGANGANUAGANUCGGUNGCCUUCNGGGAACNAUNUGAGACAGGUGCUGCAUGGCUGUCGUCAGCUCGUGUCGUGAGAUGUUGGGUUAAGUCCCGUAACGAGCGCAACCCUUGUCCUUAGUUACCAGCACGUAAUGGUGGGCACUCUAAGGAGACUGCCGGUGACAAACCGGAGGAAGGUGGGG